AUUGAACGCUGGCGGCAUGCUUUACACAUGCAAGUCGAACGGCAGCGCGGGCUUCGGCCUGGCGGCGAGUGGCGAACGGGUGAGUAAUACAUCGGAACGUGCCCAGUAGUGGGGGAUAGCUCGGCGAAAGCCGGAUUAAUACCGCAUACGACCUGAGGGUGAAAGCGGGGGAUCUUCGGACCUCGCGCUAUUGGAGCGGCCGAUGGCAGAUUAGCUAGUUGGUGGGGUAAAGGCCUACCAAGGCGACGAUCUGUAGCUGGUCUGAGAGGACGACCAGCCACACUGGGACUGAGACACGGCCCAGACUCCUACGGGAGGCAGCAGUGGGGAAUUUUGGACAAUGGGCGAAAGCCUGAUCCAGCAAUGCCGCGUGUGUGGUGAAGGCCUUCGGGUUGUAAAGCACUUUUGGCGGGAACGAAAAGGACUGUGCCAAUACCACGGUUCGAUGACGGUACCCGCAGAAUAAGCACCGGCUAACUACGUG
Molecule: ribosomal RNA, 484 nt
Filed under: uncultured bacterium
Lineage: Bacteria
Description: partial 16S ribosomal RNA
Rfam family: Bacterial small subunit ribosomal RNA
Source: RNAcentral